This 541-nucleotide unclassified non-coding RNA is filed under the name Carnobacterium sp. L02-6127. RNAcentral describes it as "partial contains 16S ribosomal RNA, 16S-23S ribosomal RNA intergenic spacer, and 23S ribosomal RNA". The stretch from base 61 to 133 matches the Rfam family "tRNA". Lineage: Bacteria; Bacillati; Bacillota; Bacilli; Lactobacillales; Carnobacteriaceae. The record is from RNAcentral.
UUGGUUCGAGUCCAUUUAGGCCCAUUGGAUUAUUUAUUUUUAAUUAAAUACCCUUAAAAAGGGGCCUUAGCUCAGCUGGGAGAGCGCCUGCCUUGCACGCAGGAGGUCAGCGGUUCGAUCCCGCUAGGCUCCAUUGUAAUCUGAUUGAAGAUUACAUACAGAAUUUGUUCUUUGAAAACUGGAUACUGUUUAAAAAGUAAUUAAAGUAAGAAACCGAGAAAACACCGCGUUUUAAAUGAGUUUUUUAAUUAGUUCUUAUCGUAAGAUAAUGAAUAAAAUCAUUGACUAACAUCAUGGAAAUCCUUCGGGAAUCCCAUUGAUAAAAAUUUAGUUGUAGUGGUUUCUAAUUCGAGGACAUGAAGGGUUUGAGAAGCAAGAGCGUACUAGCGUACGUGAGCGUCGCAGAACACGAAAUGGACGAAGAAGUAGGAAGCAAUACAGAUAAAUUAGGUUAAGUUAAUAAGGGCGCACGGUGGAUGCCUUGGCACUAAGAGCCGAUGAAGGACGGGACUAACUCCGAUAUGCUUUGGGAGCUGUAAGA